RNAcentral lists this ribosomal RNA (497 nucleotides) under uncultured bacterium. RNAcentral's name for it is "partial 16S ribosomal RNA". It matches the Rfam family "Bacterial small subunit ribosomal RNA", at positions 28 to 507 of the family's 1533-position model. The record is from RNAcentral.
GAUGAACGCUGGCGGCGUGCCUAAUACAUGCAAGUCGAGCGAACAGACGAGGAGCUUGCUCCUCUGACGUUAGCGGCGGACGGGUGAGUAACACGUGGAUAACCUACCUAUAAGACUGGGAUAACUUCGGGAAACCGGAGCUAAUACCGGAUAAUAUAUUGAACCGCAUGGUUCAAUAGUGAAAGACGGUUUUGCUGUCACUUAUAGAUGGAUCCGCGCCGCAUUAGCUAGUUGGUAAGGUAACGGCUUACCAAGGCAACGAUGCGUAGCCGACCUGAGAGAGUGAUCGGGCACACUGGAACAGCAACACGGUCCAGACUCCUACGGCAGGCAGCAGUAGGGAAUCUUCCGCAAUGGGCGAAAGCCUGACGGAGCAACGCCGCGUGAGUGAUGAAGGUCUUCGGAUCGUAAAACUCUGUUAUUAGGGAAGAACAAAUGUGUAAGUAACUAUGCACGUCUUGACGGUACCUAAUCAGAAAGCCACGGCUAACUACGUG